Molecule: ribosomal RNA, 750 nt
Filed under: uncultured bacterium
Lineage: Bacteria
Description: bacterial SSU rRNA
Rfam family: Bacterial small subunit ribosomal RNA
Source: RNAcentral
CAGGCCUAACACAUGCAAGUCGAGCGGGCUUAUCCUUCGGGAUAGGUUAGCGGCGGACGGGUGAGUAACACGUAGGCAACCUGCCUGUAAGAUCGGGAUAACUACCGGAAACGGUAGCUAAGACCGGAUAGCUGUUUCUCCGCAUGGGGGAAUCAUGAAACACGGGGCAACCUGUGGCUUACGGAUGGGCCUGCGGCGCAUUAGCUAGUUGGUGGGGUAAUGGCCCACCAAGGCGACGAUGCGUAGCCGACCUGAGAGGGUGAUCGGCCACACUGGGACUGAGACACGGCCCAGACUCCUACGGGAGGCAGCAGUAGGGAAUCUUCCGCAAUGGGCGCAAGCCUGACGGAGCAACGCCGCGUGAGUGAUGAAGGUUUUCGGAUCGUAAAGCUCUGUUGCCAAGGAAGAACGCCUCGGAGAGUAACUGCUCUGAGGGUGACGGUACUUGAGAAGAAAGCCCCGGCUAACUACGUGCCAGCAGCCGCGGUAAUACGUAGGGGGCAAGCGUUGUCCGGAAUUAUUGGGCGUAAAGCGCGCGCAGGCGGUCUUUUAAGUUUGGUGUUUAAGCCCGGGGCUCAACCCCGGUUCGCACUGAAAACUGGGAGACUUGAGUGCAGGAGAGGAAAGCGGAAUUCCACGUGUAGCGGUGAAAUGCGUAGAGAUGUGGAGGAACACCAGUGGCGAAGGCGGCUUUCUGGACUGUAACUGACGCUGAGGCGCGAAAGCGUGGGGAGCAAACAGGAUUAGAUA